CGAAAGCCUGACGGAGCAAUACCGCGUGAGGGAGGAAGGCUCUUGGGUUGUAAACCUCUUUUCUCAGGGAAGAAAAAAAUGACGGUACCUGAGGAAUAAGCAUCGGCUAACUCCGUGCCAGCAGCCGCGGUAAUACGGAGGAUGCAAGCGUUAUCCGGAAUGAUUGGGCGUAAAGGGUCCGCAGGUGGCUAUGUAAGUCUGCUGUUAAAGAACCUAGCUUAACUAGGUAAAAGCAGUGGAAACUACAAGGCUAGAGUGCGUUCGGGGUAGAGGGAAUUCCUGGUGUAGCGGUGAAAUGCGUAGAUAUCAGGAAGAACACCAGUGGCGAAGGCGCUCUACUAGGCCGCAACUGACACUGAGGGACGAAAGCUAGGGGAGGAAUGGGAUUAGAUACCCCAGUAGUCCUAGCCGUAAACGAUGGAUACUAGGCGUGGCUUGUAUCGACCCCGAGCCGUGCCGGAGCUAACGCGUUAAGUAUCCCGCCUGGGGAGUACGCACGCAAGUGUGAAACUCAAAGGAAUUGACGGGGGCCCGCACAAGCGGUGGAGUAUGUGGUUUAAUUCGAUGCAACGCGAAGAACCUUACCAAGACUUGACAUGUCGCGAAUCUUYUUGAAAGGGAAGAGUGCCUUAGGGAGCGCGAACACAGGUGGUGCAUGGCUGUCGUCAGCUCGUGUCGUGAGAUGUUGGGUUAAGUCCCGCAACGAGCGCAACCCUCGUUUUUAGUUGCCAGCAUUAAGUUGGGCACUCUAGAGAGACUGCCGGUGACAAACCGGAGGAAGGUGGGGAUGACGUCAAGUCAGCAUGCCCCUUACGUCUUGGGCUACACACGUACUACAAUGCUACGGACAAAGGGUAGCUACACAGCAAUGUGAUGCCAAUCUCAGAAACCGUAGCUCAGUUCAGAUCGCAGGCUGCAACUCGCCUGCGUGAAGUCGGAAUCGCUAGUAAUUGCAGGUCAGCAUACUGCAGUGAAUUCGUUCCCGGGCCUUGUACACACCGCCCGUCACACCAUGGAAGCUGGUCACGCCCGAAGUCGUUACCCCAACUUCGGAGAGGGGGAUGC
Molecule: ribosomal RNA, 1065 nt
Filed under: Nodularia sp. SoosCis5
Lineage: Bacteria; Bacillati; Cyanobacteriota; Cyanophyceae; Nostocales; Nodulariaceae
Description: bacterial SSU rRNA
Rfam family: Bacterial small subunit ribosomal RNA
Source: RNAcentral